RNAcentral lists this long non-coding RNA (340 nucleotides) under Brassica napus (rape). RNAcentral describes it as "long non-coding RNA (BNAP_LNC018927)". The record is from RNAcentral. Lineage: Eukaryota; Viridiplantae; Streptophyta; Magnoliopsida; Brassicales; Brassicaceae.
UUGGCUUGUUUUACUAAUAAGAGUUAUAAGUGAAUAUGAAAAGGGAUAUUUUGAUGAAUGUAUUGAAAAUGAAAACAAUAUUGAUAAGCGUGGUGAAGAUAAAGAAUGAAAAGGAAGAUGAAAAAUUGGUACCAUUGAUGAUGGGAAGAACAUGAGCUACCGAAACAAGAGACGGUGAGGGUUGUGUCUUGCUUAUAUUUCCAUGUACCAAACUGUUGUAUUGAAUCCUUAUCCACCAAUCAAGUACAGCUAAGAGCUUUAAUAUGAGAAUCUAUAGACAUACUCUAGACUCCCCCAUUAAGAGCAUGAUUUACGUGAGGUUCUUAGGAAAAGUUCUUAG